GAUGAACGCUGGCGGCGUGCCUAAUACAUGCAAGUCGAGCGAACGGACGAGAAGCUUGCUUCUCUGAUGUUAGCGGCGGACGGGUGAGUAAAACGUGGAUAACCUACCUAUAAGACUGGGAUAACUUCGGGAAACAGGAGCUAAUACCGGAUAAUAUUUUGAACCGCAUGGUUCAAAAGUGAAAGACGGUCUUGCUGUCACUUAUAGAUGGAUCCGCGCUGCAUUAGCUAGUUGGUAAGGUAACGGCUUACCAAGGCAACGAUGCAUAGCCGACCUGAGAGGGUGAUCGGCCACACUGGAACUGAGACACGGUCCAGACUCCUACGGGAGGCAGCAGUAGGGAAUCUUCCGCAAUGGGCGAAAGCCUGACGGAGCAACGCCGCGUGAGUGAUGAAGGUCUUCGGAUCGUAAAACUCUGUUAUUAGGGAAGAACAUAUGUGUAAGUAACUGUGCACAUCUUGACGGUACCUAAUCAGAAAGCCACGGCUAACUACGUG
Molecule: ribosomal RNA, 497 nt
Filed under: uncultured bacterium
Lineage: Bacteria
Description: partial 16S ribosomal RNA
Rfam family: Bacterial small subunit ribosomal RNA
Source: RNAcentral